RNAcentral lists this ribosomal RNA (253 nucleotides) under uncultured bacterium. RNAcentral's name for it is "partial 16S ribosomal RNA". It matches the Rfam family "Bacterial small subunit ribosomal RNA", at positions 524 to 776 of the family's 1533-position model. The record is from RNAcentral.
UACGUAGGGUCCGAGCGUUGUCCGGAAUUAUUGGGCGUAAAGGGCUCGUAGGCGGUUUGUCGCGUCGGGAGUGAAAUCCACUGGCUUAACUGGUGGCUUGCUUUCGAUACGGGCAGACUGGAGGUAUGCAGGGGAGAACGGAAUUCCUGGUGUAGCGGUGAAAUGCGCAGAUAUCAGGAGGAACACCGGUGGCGAAGGCGGCUCCCUGGUCCGUCCCUGACGCUGAGACGCGAAAGCGCGGGGAGCGAACGGG